This 336-nucleotide ribosomal RNA is filed under the name uncultured bacterium. Its description in RNAcentral is "bacterial SSU rRNA". It matches the Rfam family "Bacterial small subunit ribosomal RNA", at positions 72 to 422 of the family's 1533-position model. The record is from RNAcentral.
AAGUGGAGCAAUCCAUGAGUAAAGUGGCGACCGGGUGAGUAACACGUGACUAACCUACCUUCAAGUGGGGGAUAACCUCGGGAAACCGAGGCUAAUACCGCAUAAUAUCGCAAGAUCAAAGCAGCAAUGCGCUGGAAGAGGGGGUCGCGGCUGAUUAGCUAGUUGGCGGGGUAACGGCCCACCAAGGCGAAGAUCGGUAGCCGGCCUGAGAGGGCGCACGGCCACACUGGAACUGAAACACGGUCCAGACUCCUACGGGAGGCAGCAGUGGGGAAUUUUGCGCAAUGGGGGAAACCCUGACGCAGCAACGCCGCGUGGAGGAUGAAGCCCCUUGGG